GUAGGGAAUCUUCCACAAUGGACGAAGGUCUGAUGGAGCAACGCCGCGUGAGUGAAGAAGGGUUUCGGCUCGUAAAACUCUGUUGUUAAAGAAGAACAUAUCUGAGAGUAACUGUUCAGGUAUUGACGGUAUUUAACCAGAAAGCCACGGCUAACUACGUGCCAG
RNAcentral lists this ribosomal RNA (165 nucleotides) under uncultured bacterium. RNAcentral's name for it is "partial 16S rRNA". It matches the Rfam family "Bacterial small subunit ribosomal RNA", at positions 354 to 511 of the family's 1533-position model. The record is from RNAcentral.